CGGGGUCACACACAUUAGAGGUUCCUAUCUGAUCUGAUGGCUGAUGAAGAGUCCUAAUGCUCAUGGACUAUGAGUCCUACAUGUCUGAAACUCUGUGAUUGAGAAUCAGGAUUCUCUGAUCAUGAGUCCCACACAUUUUGGGUACUGGGGUCAAGAGUCCUACUGGUUUGGGACUUUUCGAUCAAGAUUUCAUAUCGAUGGACUUUGAUACCCGAUUGCCCAUC
Molecule: long non-coding RNA, 224 nt
Filed under: Elaeis guineensis (African oil palm)
Lineage: Eukaryota; Viridiplantae; Streptophyta; Magnoliopsida; Arecales; Arecaceae
Description: long non-coding RNA (EGUI_LNC052719)
Source: RNAcentral